Oncorhynchus tshawytscha (Chinook salmon) is the source of this 882-nucleotide long non-coding RNA. Lineage: Eukaryota; Metazoa; Chordata; Actinopteri; Salmoniformes; Salmonidae. The record is from Ensembl.
GGAGGGGUUGUGUAAUAGAGGAAUAGAGAUGGAGGGGUUGUGUAAUACAGGAAUAGAGAUGGAGGGGUUGUGUAACAGAGGAAUAGAGAUGGAGGGGGUUGUAGGAAUAGAGAUGGAGGGGUUGUGUGAGGAAUAGAGAUGGAGGGGUUGUGUAACAGAGGAAUAGAGAUGGAGGGGUUGUGUAAUAGAGGAAUAGAGAUGGGGGGGUUGUGUAACAGAGGAAUAGAGAUGGAGGGGUUGUGUAACAGAGGAAUAGAGAUGGGGGGGUUGUGUAAUAGAGGAAUAGAGAUGGAGGGGUUGUGUAACAGAGGAAUAGAGAUGGGGGGUUGUGUAACAGAGAAAUAGAGAUGGAGGGGUUGUGUAACAGGAAUAGAGAUGGAGGGGUUGUGUAACAGAGGAAUAGAGAUGGAGGGGUUGUGUAACACAGGAAUAGAGAUGUAGGGGUUAUGUAAUCGAGGAAUAGAGAUGGAGGGGUUGUGUAAUAUAGGAAUAGAGAUGGGGGGUUGUGUAAUAUAGGAAUAGAGAUGGGAGGGGUUGUGUAACAGAGGAAUGGAGAUGGAGGGGUUGUGUAACAGAGGAAUAGAGAUGGAGGGUUGUGUAACAGAGGAAUAGAGAUGGGGGGUUGUGUAAUAGAGGAAUAGAGAUGGAGGGGUUGUGUAACAGAGGAACAGAGAUGGGGGUUGUGUAACAGAGGAAUAGAGAUGGAGGGGUUGUGAGGAAUAGAGAUGGAGGGGUUGUGUAACAGAGGAACAGAGAUGGAGGGAUUUUGUAAUACAUGAAUAGAGAUGGAGGGGUUGUGUAAUCGAGGAAUAGAGAUGGAGGGGUUGUGUAAUAGAGGAAUAGAGAUGGGGGUUUUUGUAAUAGAGGAAUAGAGAUGGGGGG